CUGUUGUGCUAGGAAACAGGUUCAAGGGGUUCCUCAUGCCACCGUUCCAGAAGUGGAACUCUUGAGAGAGUUUAUUCUUAACCUAUCUUGGGACCAUAGCAGUGAGAAGGGUAGAAGACUCCGUAUAUGCCUGUGCAAGUGUUGGAGGCACAAAUCUAAUUAAGCCAAGAAAAGGAAAUAUGCUGGCACAUAUGAUUGAAGGAACAACUGUCCCAAAAGAAGCUGCUAAGGCUCUGUCUCUCCCUCUUUCUUUCAACUUGGCCUCUCCCACAGAGGCUUCCUCCUUAGAUUGGCUCUCUGCACAAGCAGCCCCAGGCUUGUGCUGUGAGCUCACUGAUCCAGGGAGGGAAGUUUUCUUUCUUCCACAGUACCAAUCUCACAGAGGGCCAGUGAUUAGCCUCAUGCCAGUCACAUACCUCCUCUUGUGCCAGUCACUGCAGUGAGGGGUGCAAAGAAUGGUUAUGUGCCAACUGAGGUAGAUCAGGCAUGAUGUAUUCCAGAGCCACAUGGGGUGAGGCAGGGCCCUUCCCAGCAGAAAGAGGGGUACUGGUUUGGAAAGUCAAACCAAUGGCCUCUACUUGCCCCUCUAAUUUAAAAUGUGUAUAUAGGCAGGCACACACAGUUUUAUUUACAAUUGCUCUUCACACAUCGUAAACCUCUUUCACAGAUUCAGAACUUAAAAACAAACUUUGUGAGAGUCUGUAUCUCUCUUAACUGCACUCUGCAUGCAAAAAUGAAUGGCCUUUUCCUGAAAUGCUGAAAUGAAUUCAAGUUGUGCAAGUCAAACAAAGAGCAAACUUGAAUCCUACCCAGAGGUAAACUUCUCCAAGAGGGCUGCGGUUGCUUGGCUUUAAUAAAUUGAAAUUACAGAAUGGCCUUCGACAUGGCAAUUUUCACAUCAUUUUGGACAUCAAAUUGAUUUUGACUCUGUUUAGAUGGCAGUGAGGCUGAAAACUCUGACUCACAGAAGUUCAGGAUAACAAAUUGAUCUUGCCUAGCUUUGGGGGAUGAGGGGAGCCUCUCUGUGUUGGUUUCCACCAGCAUGAGGUCAUAUCUGGUAGCUUGUGCCUCUUGGAGGUCAUCUGGGGCAGCAAGCACCGGCUGCCCUGUCCAGGGUCACACAGACUAGAGGACAAGGGAGGUACCCACAUUGUCCUGUGGGUAUUUGCACACUGUGUUGGUGGACACAGCCCCCUGAUUCUGUUGCUCAGCCCAGCCUGCAGUGGCCUGGCCUCUAGCUCUGGAAGGUUCUCUUUUGUCUUCCUCAUUCCACAUUCCAGUGUCUUCUUGGCCAGAGGGCUUCACUGUUCUUCAGCAGCUUCCACGAUGGGCUUGGGUUUACCUCAUCCAUGUAGCUACACGCAUCUGCCAGCAAAACCAAGGCCCAAGCCAGCUCCUCUCUUGAAAUUCUUCCAAGUGUGUCUGUCAUCCUUGGAGCUCUUCUUGUCUUCCUCCACAUCCCACAUUGGUGAUCUCAUCCAUUUUGUUGCUUUCUGCACCCUCAGAAUGUCAAUGGCUCCCAGUGAUUCUUCAAUGUCUUCAGUCAGAUCAUGUCUGUCCUCCACUCAAAACCCCACAACAGCCCCCCAUCAUUCAUCUGAGGAGACAGCAUCCUUACAGUCUGUGAGCAUGCACAGACCAUCACCCUCUGCCAGACUGAUGGCCCAAGGAUGAGUCCAACACCUGCUUUUCCUUCAGGAGUUCAUGACUUUAUAAUCCAAUCCACGUCAUCCAUGUUUUAAUAGAAUAAAGUACAGACUGCUGUGAGAGUCUAGAAGAGUGACUGGCUCUGUUUGCAG
Long non-coding RNA from Canis lupus familiaris (dog), 1799 nucleotides. RefSeq lists it as uncharacterized. NCBI's taxonomy places the organism in Eukaryota, Metazoa, Chordata, Mammalia, Carnivora, Canidae. The record is from RefSeq and is a predicted model, not a curated record. The transcript has 4 exons.